CCCCUUUCUUGUCUUUUUACAGUGUAACCAUAUAGCCAGCUGGGGACUUAGGAAAUACGACAAUAAAAUGAGGAAAUGGGUUUGAUAAUCCUUUCAGAAUGUCUCCCUUGCCACGGUGAAACACCUUGCCCUGAGUUCUUAUCUCUGGAAGUUGAACUGAUAAGGAAUGUGAACCAGCUUGAACAAGGACCCUGGGGAAUGGCAGAGCCUCCAAAUAGAAGCAAUCUAUAUUCCUGAAAGAUGUUCAGAAGAGGAGACUUCUUGGAUGUGUUACAAGUGCGUAUCACAGGGAGAAGCAGACUAGUGCCUUCUAACCAUAUCCUCUAAGGACUACCCAGAAGAUUUGUAUAAUAUCACCCUGAGAUGGAGUUUACUGUGGGGCCAGUGAUUAAGCUUCCUUCAUGAUGGAUCUGAAAUAUAAUCUAAUACAGUUGCACAAGUCUAUUUUCUUGAGUAAUUUCCACAUUCUCUUGGGUAAUUUUCACAUCUCAUAGGAGGCUCAGUUAUAAAUAAAAUUAAUGAAGUUUCUUGGCA
RNAcentral lists this long non-coding RNA (534 nucleotides) under Neogale vison (American mink). Its description in RNAcentral is "Neovison vison (American mink) lncRNA (ENSNVIG00000012948.1)". Lineage: Eukaryota; Metazoa; Chordata; Mammalia; Carnivora; Mustelidae. The record is from RNAcentral.